UACGUAGGGAGCAAGCGUUGUCCGGAAUCAUUGGGCGUAAAGCGCGCGUAGGCGGCCUCAUAAGUCCGUUGUGAAAGUCAAAGGCUCAACCUUUGAAAGCCGAUGGAUACUGUGAGGCUAGAGUCCGGAAGAGGCGAGUGGAGUUCCUGGUGUAGUGGUGAAAUGCGUAGAGAUCGGCAGGAACACCCAGGGGGAAACCAGCCGACUGGGCAAGUGCUGACGCUGAGGUGCGAGAGCGUGGGGAGCGAACCGG
This 253-nucleotide ribosomal RNA is filed under the name uncultured bacterium. RNAcentral describes it as "partial 16S ribosomal RNA". It matches the Rfam family "Bacterial small subunit ribosomal RNA", at positions 524 to 776 of the family's 1533-position model. The record is from RNAcentral.